UGAGUCCGAAGAAAGAGGCAGGAGCUCAAGAGGGCACAACUCUUGGAAGUGGGCGGGGCCUCAGCUUAAGGAGUAGAAGGUGUUCCUAGAAAAAGAUCGCGCACGCGCCAGCUGGGGUGACUGGGCGUGGGCGCUGGCCGGGAAUUACCCUGGAGAGCGCGGGACGGCGGCGGUGGAAGGGUUUGGGGCUGUCCGCGCGCGAAGCCGGCCUGGGCCGGGAGCGAGGGGCCCCGCGAGCUUCGCCGAUGUGGCCGUGUACCUCUCUCCGGAGGAGCGGGGAUGGCUGCACCCCGCGCAGAGGGCCCUGUGCGGGGACGUCAUGCGGGAGACCUACGGCCACCUGGACGCGCUAGAACAAAUAGUCAUUGUAGAAUGGAAUGUUUGAGUUCUGGAUUCCUUGUUUCUCAGCAGAAGCCAGAAGGAAGAACGAGAAGCACAAAGAGGUGGAAUUUGAGGGAACCCCUCUGAAAAUUUAGCUGUUACAUCAAGGACAUUGAUGAGACAUCCAGUGGGGUCCUGCAUUUGCUGAAGCCUUCUCCAAGGCCAGUUAUGGCAAGUCUAAGCACCAGCAGGCUCACAGGAGCAAAAGCAACUUCCCUAGCGCCUUCAACCACUGUUUCAGCAGCUUUUUUAAACUGUUCCACCGCCACCCCAUCUGUUCUGGAGAACACCCAUAUACCUGCGUGUGGUUUGGAUGACAUUUCUAUUACAACCAGCAAUGUUGCUUGCCACCUCUUCAACCACAACAGUAAGCAGCCCCUACCCCAGUUAGAGAAGCUCUUCACCCAGAAGUCAGCUGUGGAAGCAAACCUAUGGAUCCAUUGUCCUGGUGUUGGGAGGCAAAAGGACUGGUCACCUAGGCAGGACUGUGCCAUCUGCUUCUGUCCAAGGUUAUUUAGAUUUCUUUCUUGGCUUCCAGCACUACCAGAGAUCUUCCAGGAGGAGGGGUGACCUACUUGGUCAUGAGCACCGAGGAAGGACUGAAGAAGCCCAUAGCCAGGCAAAUACUCAAGAGGAUUUGAAGACAGAAAACCCUUGUCUCUUGGUAUCCUAAGAGACCAAGAGGGAGCUGGACAAUCAGUGGAUUUCUGUGCCAGCUCCAAAAUGCCAGAUGGGUGAGAACAACUGCAUCCCUAUUCUGUUCCUCUGUCUGCCUGCCAUCAAACUCAGUAUUUCCAGGCCCUAAACCUGCCCUUAUCUCCUGGAUGGGACGUGAAACAGAGGUGUGGGGCCUAGAAGCCCAGGAUUCUGAGGAGAAAAGGAAUUGUCCAAAAACCUGUGGAGGAGCCAGAAAUGAGGAAAAGAAUAGAAAGAGAGAAGGAUCUGGGGCUCCUCUGAGGAAGCCAUCUCCAAAUCUUCAAACCGAGCAGAAGGAAGGACCUGACAGGCCCUUAGAGUUGCCAGAUCUGCUGUCCAAGGUCCCCUGGCCAUGCCUCAAGAAGGAGACUGGGGCAUGGCCACCUGCUCAGACUGUGGCAGGACAUUCUGAAAACCCUCAAUCAUGGCACUCCACCAGUGUACUCACAAUCAUAAACAUCCCUACUCUUGUCCUGUCUGUGGGUGCUGCCUCAUCAAUUCUGCCCAAUUGAUCAGCCACUGGUGAGGGCACUCUGGAGUGCAUUGUUAUGCCUUUGUUGACUAUGGACACACUUAGAGUCCAGGAAACCUGUUCACUGCUGGCAUGUUCACCCUGGGAAUCACCCGUUUGCUUGUGCGCACUGUGGGGUUCCAAGAGAACCUUGUUGGACACCAGCUCCUCCACACUGGGGAAAAACCCUACCAUUGCCCUGACUGUGGGCACCACUUUUGGCAGAGUGGAUUCUUGGUUUAUCCACUGGCACACCCACACCAGAAACAACCAUAUCCCUGCCCUGAAUGUGAAAAGCGCUUUUUGGACAGUUCAUCCUUAGCCAAACACCAGCAGAUCUAUCGGACUGCUCAAAACAAUCCCAUUGGUCCUCUGUCAGCAGGAUUGGGGCCAAGGUUUUUUGACCCAGAUCCCCCUAUAGGCUUUUAAAUGCUACCCAGAUAUCCAAGAAUGUGGAUGACCUUGAUUGAAAAGACAGAAGGAAAACUAUCAAGGGAGGUGCAGAGCCAGACUCUGAAGGGAAGGCACUGAGACUUUGAAACCUAUCGUGUCUCUGACUAUAUGUGUAUGCACGUAUAAAAAUUCAACUUGCUUAAACCUAUGAAGAAUUAAGUAAAAAGAAAAAAUGACCUGGCUUCAGCCAAGCAGCCUUUCAUUUGGGAGCUUAACUUAGUGACUACUAUAUUGAGAUGCAUUACUCAGUAAUGCAUCAGUCUGAAAUUUAAAUCAGAAUUAACAAACGUUGAUAAAGAAUCUACUAAAUGCUUUAAACAUAAAGCACUAUAUAAAUGUAAAUUAUUGUUAGAAAUGAGUAAGAAUGAACAGAUAGAAAGAAGUAAAAGAUGUGAUCAUUGAUCAUAUGAUCCAUUCAUGGAUCUUAUAACCUAGUGAAGAGGAAAGGCACAAAUAUGUGGAAGGUUAAAAACCAAUGCAACAACUAAAUUAUGCAUUUCAGAAAGCAGUUCCAUGAUUAGUUGCCUAUGGGAAAGUAAGCCUUUAGUUCAGAAGGAAUAAUUACCAUGGGUUUGAGUGUGAUGGGAAGGCAUCAUCUAACUGGGAUGAACUGCACCUGGAAGAAUGGGAAAGACCCAAAUAAGUAAAAAGACAAAAAGUGAAGAAAACAGCUGAACAGAUAAAAGGAAGUGCAUGUUGCUUAGGAGAACUUGACUACAGGAAUCAGAGGACUUGGUUCAAAUCCUGCCUCUAGUACUACCUGUGUGACUUGUCCUCGGUCUCCUCAUGUGAUAAUGAGAGGGGUGGGCCAAAUGGCCUCUGAGAUCCCUUCUAGCUCUACAGCUAUUUGCUGUGAAUUGAGACUAGGUUGGCUGGGGAUGAAUGGAAAGAUAGGGGCUGAAGGACCUUGAAUGCCAGGCUAAGGCUUUUAGAUUUCCUUCCAUAGACAAUGGGAAGCCUUUAAGGUUUUCAAGCAGGGUAAUAUAAGGGGAUGGAAAAGAGAUUGCCGAGUAAGUAUCAAAAAGGUAUUGAUUGGGAGUGAUACUGUCUUGCUGCUCCCCUAGUAUCAAAACCUCCAGCAUCCUAAUCUAGAUCACUUCUACCAUAUAUGUAGUAUCUGGGUUUUGGUUAACAAUGAGUUCACUUUUCAACUUGUUUACUUAACCUUUCCGUCUCAAUUUUCUCAUCUAUAAAGGGAAGGGAAUAAACAUUUAUAUAGCACCUACAGCAUA
This is a long non-coding RNA of Trichosurus vulpecula (common brushtail), 3273 nucleotides long. RefSeq lists it as uncharacterized. The record is from RefSeq and is a predicted model, not a curated record. The transcript has 4 exons. Lineage: Eukaryota; Metazoa; Chordata; Mammalia; Diprotodontia; Phalangeridae.